RNAcentral lists this unclassified non-coding RNA (292 nucleotides) under uncultured fungus. RNAcentral describes it as "sequence contains ITS1". The record is from RNAcentral. Lineage: Eukaryota; Fungi.
GGGGGUUUAACGGCGUGGCCGCGCUGCGAUCCAGUGCGAGUGUUGCUACUACGCAGAGGAAGCUACAGCGAGACCGCCACUAGAUUUAGGGGACGGCGCGCCGCGAGGGCACGCCGAUCCCCAACACCAAGCCCGGGGGCUUGAGGGUUGAAAUGACGCUCGAACAGGCAUGCCCGCCAGAAUACUGGCGGGCGCAAUGUGCGUUCAAAGAUUCGAUGAUUCACUGAAUUCUGCAAUUCACAUUACUUAUCGCAUUUCGCUGCGUUCUUCAUCGAUGCCCCACAGACUAUAC